RNAcentral lists this long non-coding RNA (1227 nucleotides) under Anas platyrhynchos platyrhynchos (common mallard). RNAcentral's name for it is "lncRNA (ENSAPLG00000028120.1)". The record is from RNAcentral. Lineage: Eukaryota; Metazoa; Chordata; Aves; Anseriformes; Anatidae.
UAUAUUUCAUAUUUACAGGUUACACUAGACAGUGGCAGUGCCUUCAGAAGCACCUUUACUUUUUUACACAGGUGACACUUACUAGGGAUGUGUAACAGAAAACAGUGGUGUUUAGAGAAAAGGGAUGUGUAUAUUCAUGCAAUUGUAGUACACCUCAUGAACCAUUGUAAAAUCAAGUUAUGAAACUGCUAGGGACUAUUUGCAUAUUCUUUCUGACUUAACAAUUCUGGAACCUGACUGGAGGCAGUGUUUAUUCAUAAGUUACAAGAGUUGCCAAUCAGAUGGAGACCAUUUUAACCAUUAAGAAGAUCAUGAACAGAGAAAUUCACAAUGGAAAAUAACUGGUUCAUCUAGGUAUACAAUGUGUACAAAUGCUGCAUUGAUAUUUCAAACUAAUAUACGCUUUGUUGGUGACAUUUCUGAACGCUGUUCCAUAUACACAAUAUGUUUGAAAAGAGAGGCAAUGAGACCAGCACAUCAUCCUUCCGUCGCUGAACAGAAUCUGAUGUGCCAUUAAUCAGGUCAGCCAAUCAGCAUGCGGGGAUUAGCAUAAUAUACAGACACACUUAAUCAGGUAUACUAUACAGUUAAUCAUGUGUAUGCUAAUAGUUAUGGGGGAUUAACCAUUUAGGACGCUGCUUUUCUGUUCUGAUUGGUUGUAUUUCCUAUCUGUUAACUUUCCCUCUCCUCUUUUGUUGUUCCCACCCCCACUCCCAUUUAUGCCUUCCACCUAAAACUGUGACUAUUGAAAUUGUUGCUGGAAGACUGCCUGUAUAAUUAAGUAACUUAAAUAGAAAAAUAAUAGAAUUCAAAUGCUAGAUUCACAAACUGAUCACAGACUGAUAAAACUAUCGUUUCUUAUGGAAAAAAAAAAAAAAAAAGUGAUUUUGCUUCCUCAGAAAGUGUUCCUGGUCUCAAGGACUGUGAAUAUAAAUUACAGUUUAAUCAUCAAACUAUGUUAAUUUCAGGGACAGAUUUUGAAUUUGUUAAUUAACUUCUAAUGGCAAAAUAUCUGAAUGUAUUUAUUUUUUGUAAUCAAAAGCAAAACACUGUAAUAAGAUGAUUUGGCUAUCCACUGGAAAUAGGUAGAGAGAGAAAAAAAAAAAAAAAGUAGCAGCCAAAAGUAAUCCCUCAAGCCAUACUGUAAUUGAGUGUUUGCAUAUAGUCAGGGCUAUCAAUACAAGUGCUGAAGGAUACAGUCAGAAUGAAGGGUGGAGCCAGCAGGAG